GCCCUCGUAGUUCAACGGAUAGAAUAUAUGGCUUCGAACCAUAGGAUGGGGGUUCGAUUCCCUCCGAGGGCA
RNAcentral lists this transfer RNA (72 nucleotides) under bacterium. Its description in RNAcentral is "tRNA-Arg". It matches the Rfam family "tRNA". From Rfam's summary of the family: Transfer RNA (tRNA) molecules are approximately 80 nucleotides in length. Their secondary structure includes four short double-helical elements and three loops (D, anti-codon, and T loops). The record is from RNAcentral.